Molecule: non-coding RNA, 419 nt
Organism: Paramuricea clavata
Lineage: Eukaryota; Metazoa; Cnidaria; Anthozoa; Malacalcyonacea; Plexauridae
Source: the annotation of a GenBank genome assembly
GGCUGAGUUAGAUCGCUGCACCUUCCCUGAAUUUUUUCCAAUUUCCACCAAAAUCUGGCAUUGACUGACUGCAUAAGCAUGUCUGUGUGGGACAAAAACAAACUUAUAACCUUGACAACGUACAGUUGUCACGCCAGUGGCCAUGAAAAUGUACCUAAAAUAUUUGAUUUGCUCACACGAGCGAAUUCAUUUUGGAGACGUUAGACAUGACAUGCCUUUUCCGCAGACUGUAACGAAUUCCCUAAUUUUGUAAGGCAGGGUACGCCCGUUCGCAGGUUGUGAACUUGAUUCUUGAACAUUUCUGGUCAUAUUUGCUUCAUAGUUAUUCAAAUGCAGUUCUAAAUUAUUUACCUCAUUAUUUUAUUUUCUCUAACGCUAGACUGGCAGACUUUCACCACAGGGGGUCCAACUAAGAGCUG